Long non-coding RNA from Alosa sapidissima (American shad), 3971 nucleotides. RefSeq lists it as uncharacterized. The record is from RefSeq and is a predicted model, not a curated record. The transcript is spliced from 3 exons. Lineage: Eukaryota; Metazoa; Chordata; Actinopteri; Clupeiformes; Clupeidae.
UGGAAGUAAAGAUGACCGUCUAUUUGUGGGCAAAAUGCUAGAGCCAGCACAAAAACAUCUGUGUCUGGACUCCUAAUCACCAGGUCACUGCAGGACUUGGAUGCAUAAGCGGCGUGCAGCAGAAUUCGUGUAUCUGCCUCUUCUUGAGUAGUCUCAAGAUGUGGUCCAGCGUUGGAAGAAGUACUCAAGCAAGUUGUUUUUGUUCUCCCCACAUUGCAGGAUUUUUUUCCAUUGCUUGGGUGUUCUCUGCUCGUCACCAUAGAUUUUUAUUUUUUGGUAGCCCUGCUCAGCCCGUCUACUUCGCUCAGCAUUUUUGAUACUUUGGUUGUUAUAUGUGUCACAUACAAAAUGGAGCUCUGUUGACUUCAUCUCUUUUGCUGAGUGAACUAGUGUCCUCAGUACGUGGUCAGCAUAUUGCCCAAAUGUUGGCAAAGGCUUUAGCUGUUGCACAAGAGCCAUAGCAUCCCAAAUGUAGACUGAGCCAUCGGGGCUGUCUUUCACAGUAGUAGGCGGGCCGAUCUCCUCCUGCAAGACAUGCAUCAGCUUGGCUUUAUUGGUUUUUGCCAGGGAGCCGUCGGUGUUUGCGAGAGCCUGUGGAAAAGGACCCAAACAGUAAGUGAGCAUUUCUUCAAUAUUAAUUUGCCUAACACUGCCCACAAUAAUUAAUCUUGCAAACAAGUUGCGGUGAGUUGUCAGGGUGAUUUCUCUUCCUUUGACUUUUGUUGUAGUGCUUUGGCAUGAGUCUUUAAAUGUUUUAAGUUUUAUUUUUUUAAUUGGGUCAUGGUAAGACCUUUCUCCUGUGCUGAUCCGUCUGUCAAAGAAUUCUGUGAGUGCCACUUCACCUCUCUGUUUAGCCUGUAUUAAGUCUGUGGCAAUGUUUUCUGAUGCCAGCUGGCCAGAGGAGACUUGAUAGAGAGUGUCUCCAUCCAGGGAUAGGUCAAAAGGAUUCACCAUGUUUUCAAUAGUGCUCAGAAUGUUUACAACAUCAGUCUGAUCUCUCUGCAUUCUGCUUUGUUCUAGCUCUGAAUUCAGAUGUGCCACUGGUCCCUGCCCUGCCAUGUUUUUGCACUCCACAGUGAUUGCUGCCCUUUCAUGCUGGGUCAAGGUCCAUCGGUGAACUGCACCCUUAUUCAGUGAGAACCCACUAAUGCCUCCCUUUGUCUUAGAAUCUCGAUUGGCUGUCUGUUCAAUUACCUGAUCGCAUGCUGUGCCAGCAAAGCCAUGUGUUUGGUGCCUUUGUGCUACAAAGUCACCUGAAGUUAACUGCUGGUGUGCUGCUGGAUGUGUGUUUUCCAGAUUGUUCAUCUCGGCCCAAUAUGCUGUCAGAUAACGGGAAUAGUUGACUUUAUCACAAGCAAAGAACCAGGGCAGCAUGCAUUGAACAGUAGACAAAUGGAGAGCCCAGUUUCCCUCCCGAGUAGCCCGGAUGAAAAGAAGCAGGGUCUCCAUCAUUUCAAUGUACUGGCUCCAAAAUGCAAAGGUCAGAUUUGAGUGAUUUCUUUCCACAAAUUCAUCAUAGCCUUUCAGUAAAUCCAGGAAUGUUUCAGAGUUAAGUGCCUCAUUGAACUCAAUGGGGAACCGGUCUUGCAGGUCUGUUGCAAUUUCCAUCGCUGCAGAAUUGCCUGUGUAUGGCAAUGUGUCUAAGUAGGCCUGCCAGCGCAGUCUUUGCAAUGCCUCUGUGAAGAGCUUGUGGGCCCGCAUGCUCCUGUUGUAAUGGUGGCCUGUAAUCACCCCAUCAAUAGAGCCUACAGCCACCAGUUCGGACUCAAUUAAGAUGUCCUGAAGGCCUGCGUCUGCAUAGAGCUUCCCAAUGCAGGAAAGAAAUGCCAUGGCCGUAUGGAAUUCUCCCAUCCUUAAAACAAGUCUUUCUGAAUAUAAGCUUGUCUGCCAACGGAUUUCCUGUGCCUUGGCAUAGAUGGCUUGGUCCAUAACCAAUACAAUUUCUGUUUGUUUUAGGCUGUCAGCAAUUGCAAUGGAGCGGCUCAGGAUCGUGUGAACUGUGUUCAGGUCAGUUGGGCUGGCAUCAAUCACAGGUAAGUAGGUCACAUUUGUAAGAGGUAAGACUGCAUCUUCCUUCAACAUAAUAUUAAAACCUGUCCACCCAGGAAGAACUUUACCCUGGGCCUCAGGGACUUUCAUUAAGAAGUAUGCUGCAUCAGUUCUCCGACCAAUUGUUUGGGCACCCCUGUUUUGGUCCUGCUGAAAAUCAAUCUCCAACCCUGAACUAUGAGGACCAGACCGCUUUCCUCUUCUGUAAUAUAGUAGGUUAAGUGGUGGAGGAUUGACUGACCGCUCUCUUGUUCUUUGUCUGGAUGUGUUUGGAACAGGUGCUGCAUCAUUACCCGUGGCUCGCUGAAUUGCGAUACCAUUGGUGUUGUGCGUUGUCCCUUUACCAGACAGGGUCUCUUCUCCAAAAUCAUUGUUGUCCCAGACCAAAGUCACAGGCACUUCAGCACAGAUGGAUUCUGAGAUGUAAGUUUCUCCUUUCUCCAUUUGCAGAUUAGCCAGGGCAGUAUCAUGCUCAAGGACCAGGGAAUUGGAUGAACAGUGGCCAAGACCAUUCAACAUUCCAAUGAGUUGUGCUGAGCCAGACAUAUGUCUAACUGCCAUGGCAAGUGCACAUUGCUUCGGCAUGAGCCAUCGUGCUUUUGUUGCCAAGGUAAUGAUGUCCUGACAGGAAGACAAUAUUUUCCUGCUAUCCUCAAAACUGAACCUAACAUGCUCGUUUGCUGGUUCUGAUGUAAUUCCAGAUGCCCAUGCAAUGAAAUUGAACAGCUGGUGAGGCACUACCUCAAAGGCCCUCUCCAGGGUGAGGUCACUUGCAGUGGGAGGCCAUGGAAGUUUUUCAGACGAUUUGGCAGCGUUUUGGAGGAUCUCUUUGAGGGUUCAUAUCUCCAUCACUAUCCUCAGAUGAGGAUGAAGAGGACAUGGCGACAUCCUGGAGAAUCUCCUCAGGAGAUAUAUUGUCUACAUAAACAAGGUAUGUUUUGGAGGCUUUGUGGAAUUUUAGAAAAGGAUGGGACUUAUGAAGCCUCUGUUUCAACAGGUGAUCCUUAUACGCUCCUAUGUCUUCUCCCUCUGUUUCUUUCACAGUGUCUUUGAAAAGGGUAUUGAGCCUUGCCAAGCGAAACACCUCUCGCCUUUUUAUAAGCCUCUCCUCAAUGACUGUCUCACAAAAUGUUUUGUAGCCAAUUUCAUAGAGCCUGCUCUCUGUAUUCUUUGUUUUUAAGUACAGGUACCUAGUGUAAUCCCUGAAACAAGUGAAGUGGUAACGUGCUUCGCUGGCAACCAAGUCCCUGUCUCUAAUAUGAAGGAGGAGAGCCUCAUCUUUUCUGCCUUCAGCGGCAAGAACCAGUUUCCCAGCAUGCAGUGUUUCACACAACGAAAGUUUCUCCUUUAACCUUUUCUUGCUGUGUUUUUCCUGCUUGUAUUUGUUACUUCUGCAGAUAAUGCACUGCACAGGUAGUAGGUGUGGUGCUCGUUGUGAUGUAGAAAUACCACUGGUGUGUGACCUUAGAGCCCGAGUUUUUGAUGGACCUUCCUCACCAUCCUCUAGCUCUGCCUCUACCUCUAUCCCUACACAUUAAACAGAAGACAACAGAUUUAGGUUGUGUAGCCUACUCUCAACAAUAGUGCAUUAAUUGACAGAUACUAGCUGUUGGAUCAAAUUGUGUGGGCAGUGCUUAUGGGAAACUAAAAUAGUGUUCCUCUUCAUUUUAACAUAAUCCACUGCAGAAUAAAUGUGCGUCCCUGUCAUAUUAACACAAAGGCUGCAGGCAGGUGUGAAUGUAGGUACUGUAUUUGUAGUCCUCCCUAUCAUUCAAAUUGAACACAAACUGGUUCCUUAAAAUGUCCCCUAAUAGACUUGCCACUAAUUGUCAUUUAUUUUCUCAUUUACAGGGCAAGUUGAAUUCAACAUUGAAGUUAACACUACAUUCAUUUUAAUGUUUCAUCUUUUGAUACCAACCUUU